UGCAGUCGAGCGAACGGAUAAGGAGCUUGCUCCUUUGAAGUUAGCGGCGGACGGGUGAGUAACACGUGGGUAACCUACCUAUAAGACUGGAAUAACUUCGGGAAACCGGAGCUAAUGCCGGAUAACAUUUGGAACCGCAUGGUUCUAAAGUAAAAGAUGGUUUUGCUAUCACUUAUAGAUGGACCCGCGCCGUAUUAGCUAGUUGGUAAGGUAACGGCUUACCAAGGCAACGAUACGUAGCCGACCUGAGAGGGUGAUCGGCCACACUGGAACUGAGACACGGUCCAGACUCCUACGGGAGGCAGCAGUAGGGAAUCUUCCGCAAUGGACGAAAGUCUGACGGAGCAACGCCGCGUGAGUGAUGAAGGUUUUCGGAUCGUAAAACUCUGUUAUUAGGGAAGAACAAAUGUGUAAGUAACUGUGCACAUCUUGACGGUACCUAAUCAGAAAGCCACGGCUAACUACGUGCCAGCAGCCGCGGUAAUACGUAGGUGGCAAGCGUUAUCCGGAAUUAUUGGGCGUAAAGCGCGCGUAGGCGGUUUCUUAAGUCUGAUGUGAAAGCCCACGGCUCAACCGUGGAGGGUCAUUGGAAACUGGGAAACUUGAGUACAGAAGAGGAAAGUGGAAUUCCAUGUGUAGCGGUGAAAUGCGCAGAGAUAUGGAGGAACACCAGUGGCGAAGGCGACUUUCUGGUCUGUAACUGACGCUGAUGUGCGAAAGCGUGGGGAUCAAACAGGAUUAGAUACCCUGGUAGUCCACGCCGUAACGAUGAGUGC
This 776-nucleotide ribosomal RNA is filed under the name Staphylococcus sp. X23-CRBM-E14. RNAcentral describes it as "bacterial SSU rRNA". It matches the Rfam family "Bacterial small subunit ribosomal RNA", at positions 56 to 816 of the family's 1533-position model. Lineage: Bacteria; Bacillati; Bacillota; Bacilli; Caryophanales; Staphylococcaceae. The record is from RNAcentral.